AAGAAGUAGGUAGCUUAACCUUAGGGAGGGCGCUUACCACUUUGUGAUUCAUGACUGGGGUGAAGUCGUAACAAGGUAACCGUAGGGGAACCUGCGGUUGGAUCACCUCCUUACCUUAAAGAAGC
RNAcentral lists this ribosomal RNA (125 nucleotides) under Escherichia coli. RNAcentral describes it as "partial 16S ribosomal RNA". It matches the Rfam family "Bacterial small subunit ribosomal RNA", at positions 1421 to 1533 of the family's 1533-position model. Lineage: Bacteria; Pseudomonadati; Pseudomonadota; Gammaproteobacteria; Enterobacterales; Enterobacteriaceae. The record is from RNAcentral.